Molecule: RNA transcript, 5440 nt
Organism: Eptesicus fuscus (big brown bat)
Lineage: Eukaryota; Metazoa; Chordata; Mammalia; Chiroptera; Vespertilionidae
Gene: KIF2A
Gene name: kinesin family member 2A
Exons: 21
Source: RefSeq, a predicted model, not a curated record
CUGCGUCGGCUUAAGGCGGGCGGCGCGGGGCCCUCCUACUCUUCCCCGCGCCUCCCGACGCCCCUGCCCCGGCUUCACCCCGACGUCCCGGCGUGCGCGUCUGCCCGCCUGCCCGCGGAACCGGGGCCUCCGCCUGCCUGCCUGCCCGCCCGCCGCUGCGCCUCGCGGCCCCCGCUCGCGUUCACGCUGUCGCCGGGGCCAGCGCGGCCGCGGGCAACCGCUCCCCCUCCCGCCCCCACCCCGCCCCCUCCCCGCCUUUUCCGCCCUCCCGUCCCCCUCCCCCGACCCGCGGCCGCUGCUCCAGAUGAGGUGAUGGCAACGGCCAACUUCGGCAAGAUCCAGAUCGGGAUCUACGUGGAGAUCAAGCGGAGCGAUGGCCGAAUACAUCAAGCAAUGGUAACAUCUUUAAAUGAAGAUAAUGAAAGUGUGACUGUUGAGUGGAUAGAAAAUGGAGAUACAAAAGGCAAAGAGAUUGACUUGGAGAGCAUCUUUUCACUUAACCCUGACCUUGUACCUGAUGAAGAAAUUGAACCCAGUCCAGAAACACCUCCACCUCCAACAUCCUCAGCCAAAGUAAACAAAAUUGUAAAGAAUCGACGGACUGUGGCUUCUAUUAAGAAUGACCCUCCUCCAAGAGAUAAUAGAGUGGUUGGUUCUGCACGUGCACGGCCUAGUCAGCUUCCCGAACAGUCUUCUUCGGCACAACAGAAUGGUAGUGUUUCAGAUAUAUCUCCAGUUCAAGCUGCAAAAAAGGAAUUUGGACCUCCUUCACGUAGAAAAUCUAAUUGUGUUAAAGAAGUAGAAAAAUUACAAGAAAAACGAGAGAAAAGGAGACUACAACAGCAAGAACUUAGAGAAAAAAGAGCUCAGGAUGUUGAUGCUACAAACCCAAAUUAUGAAAUUAUGUGUAUGAUCAGAGAUUUUAGAGGAAGUUUGGAUUAUAGACCAUUAACAACAGCAGAUCCUAUUGAUGAACAUAGGAUAUGUGUUUGUGUAAGGAAACGACCACUCAAUAAAAAAGAAACUCAAAUGAAAGAUCUUGACGUAAUCACAAUCCCUAGUAAAGAUGUUGUGAUGGUACAUGAACCAAAACAAAAGGUAGAUUUAACACGGUACCUAGAAAACCAAACAUUUCGUUUUGAUUAUGCCUUUGAUGACUCAGCUCCUAAUGAAAUGGUUUACAGGUUUACAGCUAGACCACUAGUGGAAACUAUAUUCGAAAGGGGAAUGGCAACAUGCUUUGCUUAUGGGCAGACUGGAAGCGGAAAAACUCAUACUAUGGGAGGUGACUUUUCAGGAAAAAACCAAGAUUGUUCUAAAGGAAUUUAUGCAUUAGCAGCUCGAGAUGUCUUUUUAAUGCUAAAGAAGCCAAACUAUAAGAAGUUAGAACUUCAAGUUUAUGCAACCUUUUUUGAAAUUUAUAGUGGAAAGGUGUUCGACUUGCUAAACAGGAAAACAAAAUUAAGAGUGCUAGAAGAUGGAAAACAGCAGGUUCAAGUGGUAGGAUUGCAGGAACGGGAGGUCAAAUGUGUUGAAGAUGUACUGAAACUCAUUGACAUAGGUAACAGUUGCAGAACAUCUGGGCAAACAUCUGCAAAUGCACAUUCAUCUCGGAGCCAUGCAGUGUUUCAGAUUAUACUUAGAAGGAAAGGAAAACUACAUGGCAAAUUUUCUCUCAUCGAUUUGGCUGGAAAUGAAAGAGGAGCUGAUACUUCCAGUGCAGAUAGGCAAACUAGGCUUGAAGGUGCUGAAAUUAAUAAAAGCCUUUUAGCACUCAAGGAGUGCAUCAGAGCCUUAGGUAGAAAUAAACCUCAUACUCCUUUCCGAGCAAGUAAACUCACUCAGGUGUUAAGAGAUUCAUUCAUAGGUGAAAACUCUCGUACCUGCAUGAUUGCCACAAUCUCUCCAGGAAUGGCAUCCUGUGAAAAUACUCUUAAUACAUUAAGAUAUGCAAAUAGGGUGAAAGAACUGACUGUGGACCCAACUGCUGCUGGUGAUGUUCGUCCAAUAAUGCACCAUCCACCAAAUCAGAUUGAUGACUUAGAGGCACAGUGGGGUGUGGGGAGUUCCCCUCAGAGAGAUGAUCUAAAACUUCUUUGUGAACAAAAUGAAGAAGAGGUUUCUCCACAAUUGUUUACUUUCCACGAAGCUGUCUCACAAAUGGUAGAAAUGGAAGAACAAGUUGUAGAAGAUCACAGGGCAGUGUUCCAGGAAUCUAUUCGAUGGUUAGAAGAUGAAAAGGCUCUUCUAGAGAUGACUGAAGAAGUAGACUAUGAUGUAGAUUCAUAUGCUACACAACUUGAAGCUAUUCUUGAGCAAAAAAUAGACAUUUUAACUGAGCUGCGGGAUAAAGUGAAAUCUUUUCGUGCAGCUCUUCAAGAAGAAGAACAGGCCAGCAAGCAAAUCAACCCUAAGAGACCCCGUGCCCUUUAAGUUGGCAUUUGCUGCUAAAGGAUCCCCAGAACCCUCACUGUUUUAACAUACAAGGUUCAGCUGUAAGGGCCAUUUGAAAGUUUGAGAUUUUAAGUGUCUGUGGAAAAUGUCUUGUCCCUUCACCUGAAUGACAUUUCAGUUUUGUGAAACACAACUUUGUCUACAAAAUGCUUCUAGUCCAGAAGGCACAACCAAGAUUUGGGAAUAGUGAAGCAUUUUGUUUCAUUUACCCAAAUAGUGAUUUACUUUUGGAGAUCCUUGCCAAUUUUAUUUUCUAUAUGAUGAAGUAAGAUUGUGGACUUGAUCCAGGGGUGAGUAGUAGGGGGAAGCCACAGCAUUUCCUUUUAACUCGGUUCAAUUUUCGUAGCAAGACUGAGCAGUUUUAAAUCCUUUGUGUGCAUGCAUACCUCAUCUGUGAUUGUACAUACCGUGCCACUUAGGGACAGCUGUGCUCACCGCUUUCUGCUUUGUGCCUUGACUAAGGCUAUUGACCCUGAAUUUCUGAUGCACAGCCAAGUUAAAUUACAUUCCUUAUUUGUCAUUGUAAAUUACCUUUAUUGUGUGUACAUUUUUACUGUAUUUGAGGCAUUUUUUGUGUGUUGCUAGUUAAUUUUGCAGGAUGUGCCAUAUCAUUGAAUGGAACUAAAGUCUGUGACAGUGGACAUAGCUGCUGGACCACUCCAUCUUAUAUGUAAAGAAAUCUGGAAUUAUGGUUUUAAAACUUUUAACAUGUGGAUAUAAUUUUCUUAGCAUUUUCUUUGUAAAGAAAAUAUAAACUAGUUGGUGUAUAAUAAAAAGUAAUGGAAUUCUGAGAAGAGUUUUAUCUUAGGAUAAUACAUAUAUAUGCAGUGUGUCCCAGUGUGUUAUUAACAAGACUAAUAGUGCAAUUUGCUCCUUACCAAUACCAUUACUUAAGUUGAAGUGUCCAUUAGCAUCCCAAAAGGUACCUUUCAAAUGUACUGUUAAAGGAAAUUGGCUUCUGAUGCAUGAACAUUUACAUAAUACAUUGGAAGUAGUCUGUAAUAGAACUGUUAGUUUAAGCCAAGUAUAGACAGUACAUAACUCCCUUGAAAGAGAAUUAAGCUAAAGAGUUGACUUUGCCUUAAAAGGCAGAUCUAACCCAAGCUCCGUCCAUUACCUAAUGUAUGAUGUUUCACCAUUAUUUGGUGAGAAUCACCAAAUUCUCACCAAUAAAUUGGUCUAGGGUGUGCUACUUUUUAAAUGGUAACAUUUAUUUUUACAGAUUGCUACUCCAAGGAAGAAAACUGGCUACUUUUCAUAUACCUAAGAAAAAUGGAUACCUUCUGCAUUGAAUCCAUGUAACAAUCUGAAAAAAGAAGCCAAAGUGAGAUGGUAUUGAAAAACUAAUCUGUAGCGCACAUAACAAACAGUGCAUAUAGUUCCCAUUCUAUGAAUUCUAAAACAUGAACACAUCAGCAAACCUAUGAAGCCCACCCACUCCGAACACUAGUCAUUAAAGAAACAUUCGCCAACUAAAUGUAUAAGACAGUGAUUAAAACUCAUCUUUUUAAUACCUUUUUGUCAUAGCCUGUAUGUCCUAAAUUAUGAAUUUGAUUAAAAGUAUCAUAGACCUCUACUAUCCCAGACCUAAGAGCUCAUUAGCAAUUGUUUCAACAUGGUAAGUGAAAAAGAAGACUGGAAGAAAUUUGGUGAAAAUGAAAGAAAAUAAGAGGAAAUAUUUCUAUUUAGACCGGAGAUUAUUUUUAGGAUGGCUCGUAGGAACAGGUCAAGAUGGGUUAAAAUGUCUAAAAAAGGAAGCUAGGUAUUUAUGAGUAAUAUUUAACUCCUAGGAUUAACAUUGAAUAAAGACUCAGUAGUAUUACUAACCUGCCAAUAUAAAAUGUAAACCCUACUUGUCUUAGUUAUAUAGAACUGUAUUUCCAGCUUAGAAAAGUCAAACCAAUGACUUUUGUAACCAUUUACCCUUGUUUUUUUUAUUCAGCCCCUAGACCAUUGAAGCUUCAAAAAUGAAUUAGCUAAAGAGGCAAAAACUUCUAUAUUAAGUGAUGGUUUAUGAAGAAACCAAAGUGUUAGUGAUUAAAAACAGUGAGUAUAGGUUAAUAAUUACCUGGGUAACUGAAGCCUUAUUCUAUUUUCAUGAGACUUGUAUAAUUCAAGGCAAAUAAAUUUUGGUGUACAUUGCCCAGAUAAUUACAAAACAAGUAACUAUGUUACUAAAGCAAUUAUAAAUGAUAACCAGAUAUGAUUGUAACUGAAACUAUUUCAUGCUUAGGGUCUAUUUAACAAUCGCUAUGCCCAAUAAAGAAAAAGGUAAGAGCCCUAGCCAGUUUGGCUCAGUGGAAAGAGUGUUGUCCUGGGGACUGAAAGUUCCUGGGUUCGAUUCCAGUCAAGGGCACAUGCCUGGUUGCAGGCUCAAUCCCCAGUAGGGGGCGUGCAGGAGGCAGCCAAUCAAUGAUUCUCAUCAUUGAUGUUUCUAUCUCUCCCUCUCCCUUCCUCUCUGAAAUCAAUUUAAAAAAAUAUUUCCAUAAAAAAGAAAAAAGUGAGAUCCAACUACAUGUCUUAGGAUUCUUCUGCCCACAAUAGAUUAUGAAUAGGGAGACAGAGAAGAAAGUUAAAGGGGAGGACCAUACACACCACAACACACACUGACACAGGCAAUCUCCAGGCUAGGACUGUUAUUUACUACUGUUCUUAAAAUGUUCAUUCUGCUGCAGCUAACUAGCCUCCAUCUUCUACACCAAAUACCAUUCUAUGCCUUGGAAGUGCUAUGCAAUAACUCCCAGGUAGCACCUUACACCACUUAAAAGCCUUUAAAUCUCUCAUCUUAAGGUGUGACAGUAAAGUGUAAACACUUAGGAAAAGAAAAAUGUAAUUACCUGAUGAAGUCAUCUAUGUCCAUGGAACGGGCCCGCUUGUCACUAAAACCUGUGCUGGUUAGGAUUUGCUGUAUUUUAUCUGCUAUGCUGAAAUCUUCUGGUAUUAUCUAUCAAGAUUCAGAAUAAAUGAACAACAUAUCUUUAAUGAA